AUGAAGUACACACUCUGUAAGAUAAAGGUAAUGAGAGGCAUAUUUAUUGGGAAGAUAAAGAAGCUUAUGUUUGCAGGCCUCACGCCUGCCUGGGGCAGCUUGCCUGCCUAGGACCCCAUUCAAGGCCCUGGAAAUAACCCAACAAUGGGCUCACUUGGUCCUGCCACUUUUGUAAAAUUUGCAGAGGUAAGGCUGAUUUUUACUCAGUAAAGACUGCUCUCUCUUUUUCCUCUCUGAUUUCCUGUCCAUCUUACUUCUUCUGAUGGGUAGCAUUAGAGUGCCCAGGGAUGUUUUUGGAUCCAACUAAGGCAAAGGUUGAAGUGAUUCACUGUCACUUUCAUACAGCAUUAAGUUAUCCAUAUGCAUGUAGAAAUAGCUUUCUGGAAAACUGCUCCAAACCUGUAUCAACUACCCAUAAUUCAGGCCACAAAAAUGUAGUGCCAGAGGUGGUAUCUUGAUAGAAGCAAAUUCCAUGGUAUUGUGUGCAUGUCGGUAGUGGCGUCUAAACAUUAUUUUAAAUAGAUGGUGUGAGAAUAUGAUCUGUAUUAGUUUUUGUGUUUUGUGGUGCUCUUGGAUUUGUCACCUUUUAAAAAAUUAAAGUGUUUAUUUAUUUUCAUAAAUGUCAUAAUUUUAUAUUUGUUAUAUGUAAACUUGGAUUGGAUCUGGCUAGAAAUACAAUGAUGAGCCAAAAAGAGUCAUACUCUUGCCACCCUGCAGCUUAAUGUCUAAAAGACAAAAUAUAGGUUGAUAAAAAUAUUUACGCAAAUUUAUUUAAAAAUUUAGAAGAAAUAAAUACAGCAUAUGAGUGGGCCACAGUGCAGUGAGCACUUGCAUUAAGAGAUCUGUCUUUGUCUGAAAUGUAAAGUAUGUUUUCCAUGCAGAAUUACUGCUUGAGAAAAAAAAUGUGAAUUAGAUACCCCUCUGAAUUAACAGAUGAGACUGGCUUGAAAGAAAGGGUAAUUGCUUGAGACAAGCAGCAGAACAAGUAUGAAGAUCCUUGGAAAGGGAAAACACUUUUAUUGCUGCCUCUUAAAAUCUUUCAGAAGAAUAUCAAAUGUUUACAAUUUUCUUCCUGGCCAUUAAUUAAAUUGCAGCAAUAGAAGACUACUAAGAUAGGGAGGGCCUGUUUACUGUGCAAGAAAAUGUACUAACUAGGAUUAACUAAUCUUCUUUCCCUUUUCCCUCCCCUCCCAUCCUCUGUCAUGCCCUCCCCUCCCCUCCUCUCCCCUCCCCUCUGUCGUUCUUUCUUUUCUUUCUUCUUGCUUGCCUUCCUUUUUCCUUCUCUUUUUUCUUCAGCUAGGGUAGAAAAUAAGCUUAGUAUAGGACUCAAGGAGAACAUUAGUCUGUUUAAUACUUAUUUUCUUCAAGUUCAUUAUACAAAUUCACAAAUCGUUACAAUUUUUUGAGGCUUUUGUGUGGACAGGAAUGAUUUUGUUUUGCUACAAAUUCACCUUGUCAUCAAGGAAAGGACAAUAUUACUAGAUGUAGUCCAAGAUAUUCAACUGCACGCAAAGGUAAAAAGAUGGUCAUGAUGUUUGUACUCAAUUGCUUCAACAGUGUAUUAAGGUACAAAUUUUAAGCUGCUGCUCAACUUACAAAUGCUUUAAGUUUUCACUACUGACAAUAUGGAGGAAUAGACUACCUGAUGGACUCUUGCAGUGAAUACAACUAAGUCAUGAAUUUAUCUAGGUUAAACUGAAGAAGGAGGAGAAUGAUUAAAUUCUGUAGGCAGAAAGAAGAAAUGGAAUCCAAAGUCUAUGGGAGAUUUGCACAAUAAAUUCAAAAGCAAUGGAAUUAAGAAUGUAAACAUAUUGAUAUGUUAGUAUCAUGAGAUUCUCCUCCCUCAAAAGAAGUUUACACCUAAAAUCUUUUUUUUCCUCCGGAGAAUAAGCAGUAAAGCCACAUGGUUGAGGUGAGGCUCUGUGUUAAGAACAACUCAUAUACAUAAAUUGUGUGUACGUGUAUAUGUAUACAUGUAUACAUAUAAACACACCCAUAUAUAUAUACACAUAUAUAUAUACAAUACAUAUAUACACACAUAUAGACACACAUAUACACAUGUAUGUAUACACACACAUAUAUACACACACACUGUCUCAUUACAGAGAGCAUCUAUAUGUUCAUAAACACACAAAUCUAUGUUUUCUGCGGUAAGAUAUGUAUAUAUAUUUCCUAAAUAGUCAAAUCCACAAAUCAGGGCUUUCUAAGUGUAUAAUUGGUAGAAAGCUUUUACUCCUCAAUACCUACCUAACUAAACAAGAAUAAGCUUCGCUUCUGUUUAUUUGACAUAUAAUACCAGGUUAUAAAAAUUCUUACAUAAUGUUAGGCUAAUAACUACUAAAUAACAACUUUGACACUUGUGAAGCCUAAGUGUUUUUCUGAAAGUCAUCUUAACCAUUAAAAUUCAAUGAGAAUGUCAAUUCUGAUAAUUUCAAAGAUUUCCUAAAAUAAAUUAAUGCAAACUUUUCUUUACAAGUAAUUUUGAGUAUAGUUCUGCUUGACUCAAAAGCUGUUAUAACCAGGAGGUGUGAUCAAAACAUUGUCCUUGACAUGUGUCAUCUUAUUAAAUCAAGUUUCAAUGUUUGCUAAUUGGUUGAAUGAAUGAUGAUUGAUCUAGGAAAUUGCAAUUGGAAAGAGUUAUAACUUUCCGUGGGGAAAAGGAAAUAUAUGUGCAUGUAAUUUGUGUACCUACGGAGAAUUAUAUACACGGUACACAUACAUACAUUGAUGCAUUGAGGUUAAUUAUGUCUUAAAGUCUAUGAAGAACCAUAGUAAAAUUAGAAAUGUUUAAAAGUCUUGGUCAGCAAUGCAUACUAUAAAAUAUUUACAGACAAUGUUCUUAGGAUAAUUUAAACAAAUUUUGAAUUUACUCAUCUCUAGAUGAUUUUUGUUUAUACAUUUUUCUAGUAAUUCUGCUAUUUUUCUAAUGACUUAAGACUCAAAACCUCAAUGUUAAUAUUAGAGUUAAGAGCACUUUUACAAAUGAAAUUGUUUCUUUGCGGAAUGUCUGAAAAUACCAAGAGUACUUAAAUAUGAAACUGUAGAAUCGGUAGAAGUAGAAAAUAAAACUGGAGAGUUUUAUGAAAUUACAGACACUUGUAAUACUUGUAAUUACAGACACUGCAACCUAGAAAGUUGCAGGUGGGCAAAUUCUUUUUGGAUUUCCAUUUUAAGAAAGAGAUAAAGAAGGAGAAUUGGUAAACUCAACCACACAUCCUGAAAAUAUUCUAGACUAGAUGAUUAAGCAAAUGAUUUGAGAAUACUAAAUAGGAUCACUAUAAAUCAGUAUACAUUUAUUAAAAUUAACAUCUUAGUAAGUAAUAAUAAAUAAUUUCUAAAAUAGAAGUCAUUUAAAUCAUGGUCACUAUAUUCCCAGUAUAAUUUCCAAUUAAAUAUAGAUAAAAUCCAGUUUGUAUCUACAUUUUCAUGUGGCACUAUUAGGAGACAGAUUUUGGUUUAGUGUGAGGAACAGGUUUUUAAAACCCAGUGUUGUCCUGUGGAACAAAUUCCUAUGCUAAGCAAUGAAAUUCUACAUUCUCGAGGCUUGGUGCAAUUUGAGCUUUUUCAGAUAGCAUUUUUUUUUUUUU
RNAcentral lists this long non-coding RNA (3587 nucleotides) under Homo sapiens (human). Its description in RNAcentral is "HSALNT0092490". Lineage: Eukaryota; Metazoa; Chordata; Mammalia; Primates; Hominidae. The record is from RNAcentral.